Molecule: long non-coding RNA, 1594 nt
Organism: Monodelphis domestica (gray short-tailed opossum)
Lineage: Eukaryota; Metazoa; Chordata; Mammalia; Didelphimorphia; Didelphidae
Source: Ensembl
CACGGGCUCUCUAACCCCAUCUCCUUCCUCUUCAGCUUGUGAACAGGCUGAGUCACAUCCUUGGGUGCUCCCCACACCUGGCAGAUCACUUCCUUCACACAAACUUCCCUUGACUACAAAGAACGGUUGGAAUACAAACACCGUUUUGUCUUGUUUGUCUAAAGUUCCAUAUUUGGGGCUUGAGGCUGGGUCUAUGAAUGACACUUUCCACCCCUUCCCUCCCUCCCUUCCCCCAACCACAUAGUAAGCCAUUCUAGGAGAUACCCGGAGCCAAGGUAAAGGGUGAGAAGGGCAGAACACGGCCCCUUUGUUUCUGAUCUCCAGCCACUCCAGUGCCUUGAAGGUUAUCUUCCUUCUUAUUUAGACUUUAUUUUUUAAACCAGAACCUUCUGAUGCUACACUUGACCUAGGCCGAGAAGCGAUGAAAAAAACACAAACCCUUCCCGUCUGUCUUGGACUCAACGCGAGAGCUUGGCUCCAAGGCAGAAGAGCGGGAAGGGCUAAGGAAGCAAUGGAGGUGGACUGGUUGGUGUGCCCGGGGUGGCACAGCUAGGAAGUGUCAGAGGUGGGUUUUGAAUCCAGGACCUCCCCUCUCCAGGCCUGACGGAAGGAGAUCUUCUUGUCUCAACAAGGAAGGAGAAGAGGGAGAGAAAGACUUGUAGAAUGGAGGUGGGGGAAGAAGAGGAAAUAUUGAGAGAGAAAAAAGAAGCUGAAGAUGGUUAUCCAUUUGAGGCCGAGAUGCUCUAUGGCUCCCUGCUACAGCAAGGAAAAAGAGAAGAGGAACAAGGAACCUGCAACCUUCUCACUCGUGAGGGACUGGCUGGAAACUUUCCCCUCUUGUGUACUCUUCAAAGCCUCUGUGAGCCCCUUAACCAGAGUCUACACUUGUCUGGUCAGAGGCAACCAGAUCUGCCUGCAGCUGCUUGAUGAGAAAAGAAGCCCUCCCAGAGACCUGGGGAAGCAGCUGGAGAGAGAUGCUUGCCAGCUUGGGGGUGUAAAUAUUUAUAAACCAUGGUUGGUGGGAAGAGAGAGGGCAGAAGAAGGAAUCAGAGGAGGUUGGACUUGGCGAAUUCGAGUUGAGAAACAUGGCACCCCAGAUCCCUGAUCUGAUUCAGUGGUGGAGAAGGAGUAGAUCACUGGAAAGUAGUAGGAGAGAGACAAUGAGAUGGCUCAGUGGAGAGUAAGACAGGCCUGGAGAGUCAGAUCCCUAGGUUCAACCGUUGAACCCUAGGCAAGUCACUUAAACCCCAUUGCCUGGACUUAUUUAUCACUCUUCUGCCUUGGAACCAAUAAUUGGUUGAUAAUAAUUGCGUUGAUUCUAAGAUAGAAGAAGGUAAGGGUUUAAAGAAAAACAAAGGAGAGAAGAGAAGAGAAGAGAAGAGAAGAGAAGAGAAGAGAAGAGAAGAGAAGAGAAGAGAAGAGAAGAGAAGAGAAGAGAAGAGAAGAGAAGAGAAGAGAAGAGAAGAGAAGAGAAGAGAAGAGAAGGAGAAGAGAAAGAGAAGAGAAAGAGAAGAGAAAGAGAAAAGGACUACGUACUCCUGGGCUGGGUAAUAAUAAUUAUUAAUAAGAAUAAUAAAGCACUUUAUAAAUAACA